UCCAGACUCCUACGGGAGGCAGCAGUGGGGGAUAUUGCACAAUGGGGGAAACCCUGAUGCAGCGACGCCGCGUGAGUGAAGAAGUAUUUCGGUAUGUAAAGCUCUAUCAGCAGGGAAGAAAAAAGACGGUACCUGACUAAGAAGCCCCGGCUAACUACGUGCCAGCAGCCGCGGUAAUACGUAGGGGGCAAGCGUUAUCCGGAUUUACUGGGUGUAAAGGGAGCGUAGACGGCAAUACAAGUCGGAAGUGAAAUACCCGGGCUCAACCUGGGAACUGCUUUGGAAACUGUAUGGCUGGAGUGCUGGAGAGGUAAGCGGAAUUCCUAGUGUAGCGGUGAAAUGCGUAGAUAUUAGGAGGAACACCAGUGGCGAAGGCGGCUUACUGGACAGUAACUGACGUUGAGGCUCGAAAGCGUGGGGAGCAAACAGGAUUAGAUACCCUAGUAGC
Molecule: ribosomal RNA, 448 nt
Filed under: uncultured bacterium
Lineage: Bacteria
Description: bacterial SSU rRNA
Rfam family: Bacterial small subunit ribosomal RNA
Source: RNAcentral